Ipomoea nil (Japanese morning glory) is the source of this 103-nucleotide small nucleolar RNA. It matches the Rfam family "Small nucleolar RNA Z103". From Rfam's summary of the family: This family consists of several snoRNA Z103 sequences which are members of the C/D class of snoRNA which contain the C (UGAUGA) and D (CUGA) box motifs. This family seems to be found exclusively in plants. The record is from Rfam. NCBI's taxonomy places the organism in Eukaryota, Viridiplantae, Streptophyta, Magnoliopsida, Solanales, Convolvulaceae.
GUGGAUGUGAUGAGUAUUUCCCCAGAUGAUCGAAGCUGAAAUUACUGAGCGCUCUUUGUGUUUUCUCCUACGGAGAAAUUCCAAGCCAGAUAUUCUGAUCCAU